UCCACCCUAGGAUUUGAACUCACACCCUAUAAAUCUAAGGGUUUUGCUAAUCAAACUAAGUUGUUAGUUUAAGUCUUCAAUAGUAAAAAAUAUUAAUUAAAAACUAAAACUUUCAAUUUUUAACUAUAUGCAAUGAAUUAAUACCUUCCAAAAAAUUUUACCAUUAAAAGAAGAUAAAAAAGUAAAGUAUCAAUUAGGAGGUGUACCUGCUAAGUCUUAAUCCUGACACCAUUAGUAAUAUCCUUAAUAAUUGCUGUAUCUAAAAUCACUUUCAUCACUAGGCCAGUUGAAUUGCCUUUUCCAAGGCUCCUAAUGCUGAAAAGGUUUAGAUUUUUGGGUAAUAAAUAAAAAUUAAAAAAAGGUUAAAAUGUCAAUUAAUUAGCUUGUUAAAGUGACAUGAAGUUUUACACUAAUAAAACUGUCACAUGGAAAUAAAUUGAUAACAAUUUAAAAUAUAAGAUUAUAAGCAAAUAAACUGAAAAUCUGAUGCAACUGUUAAUUGAAAUAGAAUUGAU
Molecule: long non-coding RNA, 515 nt
Filed under: Arachis ipaensis
Lineage: Eukaryota; Viridiplantae; Streptophyta; Magnoliopsida; Fabales; Fabaceae
Description: long non-coding RNA (AIPA_LNC001995)
Source: RNAcentral